AUUCUAUACUGCAAAAUCUAAGUUAAGGACCUUGUGAUGGUUAAGUCUAUAUGUCAACUUGACUGCGCCCCAUAUUCCUUUAACAUUAUUCUGGAAGUCGCGUGAAUAAAUGUCCAUGGGUCAAGUGAGAAAAGAUGGACCCCUGGAGUACCAAGACACCCAACCACUUUCCAUGAAGGAGAAGAGGUCUUGAACCACAAAGGGGCAUGGCAGACUGGUCUGGAGGGCACAGCAGGAGAAGGAGGAUGCUUUGGCUUUUCAACCUUGUCUUCAGGAUGUUCUACUUCCCUCAAAAGUCCUACCCUCAAACAGCAAACCUCCAGCAGGAGCAGGCAGAGGCAUCCCCACUGUCCAGUUUCACAGCAAUGAUCAGGAGAACUUCUGGGGUCAACUUCUAACUUCUAUUCAGCAAUUUCAAAGACCGGCCAGAUAAGAGAACUUUAUUAACUCCUUUAUCAACUGUCAGCUUCCUUUCAAAUUACUCCUAGGCAAAAAGUUUUGUUGCUAUAAUUACUGUUGUUAUUCUGGGGGGGGGGUGGGGAGGAGGGAGAUGGAUUUUAUUUAUUUUAAAUGUUUCGUAGUAUUUUAAAAAGACAAGAUGUGGUUGGAAAAGAAAACUUAAAAGGUAUACAGAACAAAGUGUAUCUCCCAGUAGUUCUCCAUUUGCCCAGUUCCCAGCUGCAGCCAUAAGAAACCACUGUUAUUAGUCAUUUGUGAUUCUUUCUGAAAUGUCUUUUAUAUACACAAGCAAAUAUA
Acinonyx jubatus (cheetah) is the source of this 756-nucleotide long non-coding RNA. RefSeq lists it as uncharacterized. NCBI's taxonomy places the organism in Eukaryota, Metazoa, Chordata, Mammalia, Carnivora, Felidae. The record is from RefSeq and is a predicted model, not a curated record. The transcript has 4 exons.